AUGAACGCUGGCGGCGUGCCUAAUACAUGCAAGUCGAGCGAACGGACGAGAAGCUUGCUUCUCUGAUGUUAGCGGCGGACGGGUGAGUAACACGUAGAUAACCUACCUAUAAGACUGGGAUAACUUCGGGAAACCGGAGCUAAUACCGGAUAAUAUUUUGAACCGCAUGGUUCAAAAGUGAAAGACGGUCUUGCUGUCACUUAUAGAUGGAUCCGCGCUGCAUUAGCUAGUUGGUAAGGUAACGGCUUACCAAGGCAACGAUGCAUAGCCGACCUGAGAGGGUGAUCGGCCACACUGGAACUGAGACACGGUCCAGACUCCUACGGGAGGCAGCAGUAGGGAAUCUUCCGCAAUGGGCGAAAGCCUGACGGAGCAACGCCGCGUGAGUGAUGAAGGUCUUCGGAUCGUAAAACUCUGUUAUUAGGGAAGAACAUAUGUGUAAGUAACUGUGCACAUCUUGACGGUACCUAAUCAGAAAGCCACGGCUAACUACGUG
Molecule: ribosomal RNA, 496 nt
Filed under: uncultured bacterium
Lineage: Bacteria
Description: partial 16S ribosomal RNA
Rfam family: Bacterial small subunit ribosomal RNA
Source: RNAcentral